Molecule: ribosomal RNA, 496 nt
Filed under: uncultured bacterium
Lineage: Bacteria
Description: partial 16S ribosomal RNA
Rfam family: Bacterial small subunit ribosomal RNA
Source: RNAcentral
GAUGAACGCUGGCGGCGUGCCUAAUACAUGCAAGUCGAGCGAACAGACGAGGAGCUUGCUCCUCUGACGUUAGCGGCGGACGGGUGAGUAACACGUGGAUAACCUACCUAUAAGAUUGGGAUAACUUCGGGAAACCGGAGCUAAUACCGGAUAAUAUAUUGAACCGCAUGGUUCAAUAGUGAAAGACGGUUUUGCUGUCACUUAUAGAUGGAUCCGCGCCGCAUUAGCUAGUUGGUAAGGUAACGGCUUACCAAGGCAACGAUGCGUAGCCGACCUGAGAGGGUGAUCGGCCACACUGGAACGGAGCCACGGUCCAGACUCCUACGGGAGGCAGCAGUAGGGAAUCUUCCGCAAUGGGCGAAAGCCUGACGGAGCAACGCCGCGGGAGUGAUGAAGGUCUUCGGAUCGUAAAACUCUGUUAUUAGGGAAGAACAAAUGUGUAGGUAACUAUGCACGUCUUGACGGUACCUAAUCAGAAAGCCACGGCUAACUACGU